UACGGAAGGCAGCAGUGGGGAAUAUUGCACAAUGGGCGCAAGCCUGAUGCAGCCAUGCCGCGUGUAUGAAGAAGGCCUUCGGGUUGUAAAGUACUUUCAGUCGUGAGGAAGGUGUUAAGGUUAAUAACCUUAGCAAUUGACGUUAGCGACGGAAGAAGCACCGGCUAACUCCGUGCCAGCAGCCGCGGUAAUACGGAGGGUGCGAGCGUUAAUCGGAAUUACUGGGCGUAAAGGGCACGCAGGCGGUUAAUUAAGUUGGAUGUGAAAUCCCCGGGCUUAACCUGGGAAUGGCAUUCAAGACUGGUUAGCUAGAGUCUUGUAGAGGGGGGUUAGAAUUCCAUGUGUAGCGGUGAAAUGCGUAGAGAUGUGGAGGAAUACCGGUGGCGAAGGCGGCCCCUGGACAAAGACUGACGCUCAUGUGCGAAAGCGUGGGGAGCAAACGAGGGAUUAGAUACC
Molecule: ribosomal RNA, 456 nt
Filed under: uncultured bacterium
Lineage: Bacteria
Description: bacterial SSU rRNA
Rfam family: Bacterial small subunit ribosomal RNA
Source: RNAcentral